This 1455-nucleotide ribosomal RNA is filed under the name Triticum aestivum (bread wheat). Its description in RNAcentral is "partial small subunit ribosomal RNA". The record is from RNAcentral. Lineage: Eukaryota; Viridiplantae; Streptophyta; Magnoliopsida; Poales; Poaceae.
AUGGACGCAGCCAGCGACGGCAUGCGCUUGCCCUACGACGUGCUCCUCGACAUCCUCCGCCGCCUGCCGGGGCGCGACGUUUGCGCGUCCCAGUGCGUGUGCCGCGCGUGGCGUGACAUAGUCAACAACGACCACUGGCUCUCCCUAGAGCGCUACUUCCCCCGGCGCGCCUUCCCCGGCCUCUUUGUCAACAAGACAGGGUGCCGCUCCAAUACAUCCUUCUUUGCGCCCCCAGCCAAUCGCGGCAUGCCUGGCUUCAGGAGCCCCGUCUACCCGCACCAGGCGAUAGUAUACCAGUCCUGCAAUGGCCUCCUCCUCCUCGAGGAGGGGGGCGAUUACAUUCUCAACCCAGUGACAGCGCGGUAUACUCGUCUGCCGCAGCCAUCGAUGCCGUAUUACUGGCAUGGCAUAUCUCUGGCUUUCGACCCUGCCGUGUCGUUCCACUACCAUGUGUUCCGCUUUCCCGAGGGUGGCUUGCUCAAGGAGCCAUUAUCAGCCACUAUAACGCAAGGCGAGGUUCCGCCGCUCGAGGAAGCACAAGCAGAGGAGUUCGAGGAACCCCUGAAAAAAGUGUUGUCAAUGUUAAUGUACUCUUCAUGCACAGGGCACUGGGAGGACCGAGAGUUCACACCUGGACUUUGUGCAUCGGGGCACCUCUACGACAUGGUUAGCAGAGCGCCUGAGAGCUACGAGGGUCCAUUUCAUUCAUCUAAUUACUGGCGUGGGUCUGUCUAUAUGCAUUGCCACAACAGCGUCCUCGUGAUUCUACACCCCUCGAAGGGAACUUAUGAUAUGGUCCAGCUUCCCGGAGAACCCUGCGGUCCAAAAAGCUGGUACUCGCUUCCCAAAAAUUCUGUCUUAGCAAGCUAUGAGAGAGGGGUACAUUAUGUGGUGACUAACAAUUCACAGCUUCGAGUAUGGAUGCUAACGGAAUUGACCAAUGGACAACUAGGUUGGGAAUUGGUACACGACGCCGGCCUCAACCUGCAUGGUCAUAUGAUUCGUACUCUUAAAAUACAACCCAAGAUGAUAUGGAGGAUUGUUGGAAGCAAUGGAGGACCAGUCAGCUUGUCCGACUAUGAGAUAGAGGACGAUUGGGCCACACCACAUGAAUCUGAAUAUUCAUGGGACUCUGAUGAGGACAACUACAUCGACAUGGUUGGAGGCGCCGACCACCAUGAGUCGGUAGAACAGGGUGCCUACUGCAGAAUCAUGGGAUUCCAUCCACACAAGAAUGCACUCAUCCUCGCUCUUAGCGGCGCGGUGGUAGUGUAUCAUCUCGACACCUCGAGGAUGCAGUAUCUGGGAGACGAGGACGAGCUUGAUAAAGACAACUCGCAACACGCUUGCUGUGUCGAGCAUUCGUUCAUUUACCGACCUUGCUAUAAGGACAUGCUACCAAGAGGGAAAUUAUCGAUGCCGCCACAAAAUGAUAUACGAUCCAAUUCUACAUAG